AAAUUUUCAUUUMCUAAACCCAGGACCCGAACACCAGUCAAUAAUGAAUGAUAUGUGUACGUUCAUAGGCGGGGGGACACUUUUGCGGGAAGUUGGGGGUAAUCCCUGUUCCUCGGCCAUAGUCCGCGCUUUUAGGCGGGUUCUGUGGAUCGAUACGGUGUGGGUGUUCCCUUAAGUCGUCACUAAUUGUAACUCGUAAUCGCGUUCGAACUGAGUCAAUUUCAUAUCUCUCGGCCGAUUAGACCACGGUCGGCGGCGCCAAUGUGGUGCACCGAGUUUAACUGGGGGAGGCCGCAUUUCGCACUAAUUUCAAAAGUGGAUGAUCUCAAUUUGAUUUUGAUUCGACACUGUGCGGACAAUAGUUCUUUGGGUUUUUGCUUUCAAUGAGAUUGUGUUGGUUGAACUUGAGUGCUGUCGACCCUUUGUUUGACCCUAAUCUAUGGGGUGAUACGGGUCGGCAUUUGAAAAUGAAUGUAACUUAGCGGUCCCUUGAUGCUCGAUUCGAAUUUUGGGUUUCCUGAACUGCCAUGGGGUAUAGGGGGAUCUCCUCGGACAGGAUAUUAGCUAUUAGGUGCAAUUUGGAGUGGUAAAAAUCAAUGAGUCGGACAUAUGGAGGCAGCAGUCGAAUGGUGCACUCGCGGUUAAUCACUCGAAUUACAUAUAAGUGGUUGUGCAGUCCAGUUCCACGUCGUUUACUUUACCUUUCUCUACCCGAUGUGAAAGAUUUAAUCUUCUUUGCUUUUUGAUAGAUACUUUGGAUCAAUCUUCCGCCUAAAUCGUCAUUUUUCCUUAGUCGUGCAGGUAAAAUUGGGCCGUGACCCCACACAUGUGUGGCGGGCAGUGGGAGAAGUUUCGAUAGUCGGAUCAGGGAUUGUUUGAUUUCGUGCUGUCUUCUCCGUUCAGCAUUGUGC
RNAcentral lists this ribosomal RNA (911 nucleotides) under Bufo bankorensis (Bankor toad). RNAcentral's name for it is "partial 12S ribosomal RNA". The record is from RNAcentral. Lineage: Eukaryota; Metazoa; Chordata; Amphibia; Anura; Bufonidae.